This 254-nucleotide ribosomal RNA is filed under the name uncultured bacterium. Its description in RNAcentral is "partial 16S ribosomal RNA". It matches the Rfam family "Bacterial small subunit ribosomal RNA", at positions 524 to 776 of the family's 1533-position model. The record is from RNAcentral.
UACGUAGGUGGCAAGCGUUGUCCGGAUUUACUGGGCGUAAAGAGCGCGCAGGCGGCCAAGUCAGUCGAAUGUGAAAGCCCCCGGCUUAACUGGGGAGGGUCAUUCGAUACUGCUCGGCUCGAAGACAGGAGAGGGAAGUGGAAUUCCCGGUGUAGUGGUGAAAUGCGUAGAUAUCGGGAGGAACACCAGUGGCGAAGGCGACUUUCUGGCCUGUUCUUGACGCUGAGGCGCGAAAAGCUAGGGGAGCAAACGGG